AUAUUGGACAAUGGGGGAAACCCUGAUCCAGCUAUCCCGCGUGUGUGAAGAAGGACUUCGUAUUGUAAAGUACUUUAUGUUGGGAGGAAAGGCAGUAAGUUAAUACCUUGCUGAUUUGACGUUACGGAAAGAAUAAGCACCGGCUAACUCCGUGUCAGCAGCCGCGGUAAUACGAAGGGUGCAAGCGUUAAGCGGAAUUACUGGGCGUACAGCGCGCGUAGGUGGUUUGUUAAGUUGGAAGUGAAAGCCCCGGGCUCAACCUGGGAACUGCUUUCAAAACUGGCAAGCUAGAGUAUGGCAGAGGGUGGUGGAAUUUCCUGUGUAGCGGUGAAAUGCGUAGAUAUAGGAAGGAACACCAGUGGCGAAGGCGACUACCUGGACUGAUACUGACACUGAGGUGCGAAAGCGUGGGGAGCAAAC
RNAcentral lists this ribosomal RNA (420 nucleotides) under uncultured bacterium. Its description in RNAcentral is "partial 16S ribosomal RNA". It matches the Rfam family "Bacterial small subunit ribosomal RNA", at positions 361 to 773 of the family's 1533-position model. The record is from RNAcentral.